GAUGAACGCUGGCGGCGUGCCUAAUACAUGCAAGUCGAGCGAACAGACGAGGAGCUUGCUCCUCUGACGUUAGCGGCGGACGGGUGAGUAACACGUGGAUAACCUACCUAUAAGACUGGGAUAACUUCGGGAAACCGGAGCUAAUACCGGAUAAUAUAUUGAACCGCAUGGUUCAAUAGUGAAAGACGGUUUUGCUGUCACUUAUAGAUGGAUCUGCGCCGCAUUAGCUAGUUGGUAAGGUAACGGCUUACUAAGGCAACGAUGCGUAGCCGACCUGAGAGGGUGAUCGCCCACACGGGAACUGAGACACGGUCCAGACUCCUACGGGAGGCAGCAGUAGGGAAUCUUCCGCAAUGGGCGAAAGCCUGACGGAGCAACGCCGCGUGAGAGAUGAAGGUCUUCGGAUCGUAAAACUCUGUUAUUAGGGAAGAACAAAUGUGUAAGUAACUAUGCACGUCUUGACGGUACCUAAUCAGAAACCCACGGCCAACUACGUG
RNAcentral lists this ribosomal RNA (497 nucleotides) under uncultured bacterium. RNAcentral describes it as "partial 16S ribosomal RNA". It matches the Rfam family "Bacterial small subunit ribosomal RNA", at positions 28 to 507 of the family's 1533-position model. The record is from RNAcentral.